RNAcentral lists this long non-coding RNA (1911 nucleotides) under Triticum aestivum (bread wheat). Its description in RNAcentral is "long non-coding RNA (TAES_LNC017171)". The record is from RNAcentral. Lineage: Eukaryota; Viridiplantae; Streptophyta; Magnoliopsida; Poales; Poaceae.
UCUAGGGGAAUAAAGAUGGAAUGACUUCUAAUUUUUAGGUCCGUAUGGUUUGAAAUACUUGCACACAAACCGCCCGAAAGCAUUCCUAGAAAUCUCGGCCCAAAAAAUGACGUUUAGUAAUUCUAAAUGGGAAUACAAGAUGAAAAACAAUAGUUUUGGCAGUUAAAGUUUGAGAUUCGAUGGUGUCGUAGAUCCAUUUGGUCAUCAGGUGUUACGAGCCACACCCAUGUCUAGCUAGAAUAGUGUGUCAGGCUCAGGCUAGAGAAGAAACGGGGAACAAACUGAUGAAAGAAUUAUCAUAACGAGGGAAUUCACUCAGAACUAACAAGAAUGAUAACGUGCUCCGACUGGAGCGGUUUAGGAACUUCUGGAAGCCUCUAGGGGAAUAAAGAUGGAAUGACUUCUAAUUUUUAGGUCCGUACGAUUUGAAAUACUUGCACACAAACCCCAAGAAAGCGUUUCUGGAAAUCUCGGCCCAAAAAAGGACGUUUAGUAAUUCUAAAAGGGACUACAGGAUGAAAAACAAUAGUUUUGCCAGUUAAAGUUUGAGAUUCGAUGGUGCCGUAGAUCCGUUUGGUCAUCAGGUGUUACGAGCCACACCCAUGUCUAGCUAGAAUAGUGUGUCAGGCUCAGGCUAGAGAAGAAACAGGGUACAAACUGAUGAAAGAAUUAUCAUACCGAGGGAAUUCACUCAGAACUAACAAGAAUGAUAACGUGCUCCGACUGGAGCAGUUUAGGAACGGCUUGAAGGCUCUAGGGGAAUAAAGAUGGAAUGACUUCUAAUUUUUAGGUCCGUAUGAUUUGAAAUACUUGCACACAAACCCCGAGAAAGCGUUCCUGGAAAUCUCGGCCCAAAAAGGACGUUUAGUAAUUCUAAAAGGGACUACAAGAUGAAAAACAAUAGUUUUGGCAGUUAAAGUUUGAGAAUCGAUGGUGCCGUAGAUCCGUUUGGUCAUCAGGUGUUACGAGCACACCCAUGUCUAGCUUGAAUAGUGUGUCAGGCUCAGUCUAGAGAAGAAACGGGGAACAAACUGAUGAAAGAAUUAUCAUACCGAGGGAAUUCACUCAGAAUUAACAAGAAUGAUAACGUGCUCCGACUUGAGCGGUUUAGGAACAGCUGGAAGGCUCUAGGGGAAUAAAGAUGGAAUGACUUCUAAUUUUUAGGUCCGUAUGAUCUGAAAUACUUGCACAAAAACCUCGAGAAAGCGUUCCUGGAAAUCUUGGCCCAAAAAAGGACGUUUAGUAAUUCUAAAAGGGACUACAAGAUGAAAAAUAAUAGUUUUGCCAGUUAAAGUUUGAGAUUCGAUGGUGUCGUAGAUCCGUUUGGUCAUCAGGUGUUACGAGCCACACCCAUGUCUAGCUAGAAUAGUGUGUCAGGCUCAGGCUGGAGAAGAAACAGGGUACAAACUGAUGAAAGAAUUAUCAUACUGAGGGAAUUCACUCAGAACUAACAAGAAUGAUAACGUGCUCCGACUGGAGCGGUUUAGGAACUGCUGGAAAGGUCUAGGGGAAUAAAGAUGGAAUGACUUCUAAUUUUUAGGUCCGUAUGGUUUGAAAUACUUGCACACAAACCGCACGAAAGCAUUCCUAGAAAUCUCGGCCCAAAAAAUGACGUUUAGUAAUUCUAAAUGGGACUAUAGGAUGAAAAACAAUAGUUUUGGCAGUUAAAGUUUGAGAUUCGAUGGUGCCGUAGAUCCGUUUGGUCAUCAGGUGUUACGAGCCACACCCAUGUCUAGCUAGAAUAGUGUGUCAGGCUCAGGCUAGAGAAGAAACGGGGAACAAACUGAUGAAAGAAUUAUCAUAACGAGGGAAUUCACUCAGAACUAACAAGAAUGAUAACGUGCUCCGACUGGAGCGGUUUAGGAACUGCUGGAAGGCUCUAGGGGAAUAAAGAUGGAAUGACUUCUAAUU